CCUACGGGAGGCAGCAGUGGGGAAUUUUCCGCAAUGGGCGAAAGCCUGACGGAGCAAUACCGCGUGAGGGAAGAAUGCCUACGGGUUGUAAACCUCUUUUAUCAGGGAGGAACAAAAUGACGUGUACCUGAUGAAUAAGCAUCGGCUAACUCUGUGCCAGCAGCCGCGGUAAGACAGAGGAUGCAAGUGUUAUCCGGAAUUACUGGGCGUAAAGCGUCUGUAGGUUGUUUAACAAGUCAACUGUUAAAUCUUGAAGCUUAACUUCAAAAUCGCAGUCGAAACUGUUAAACUAGAGUAUAGUAGAGGUAAAGGGAAUUUCCAGUGGAGCGGUGAAAUGCGUAGAUAUUGGGAAGAACACCGAUGGCGAAAGCACUUUACUGGGCUAUUACUGACACUCAGAGACGACAGCUAGGGUAGCAAAUGGGAUUAGAUACCCCAGUAGUCCUAGCCGUAAACUAUGGAUACUAGAUGUUGAACAGACCGACCUGUGCAGUAUUAAAGCUAACGCGUUAAGUAUCCCGCCUGGGAAGUAUGCUCGCAAGNGUAGAAACUUAANGAAUUGACGNUGAGAGNGCGACGACGACGACGAGGAGAG
This 595-nucleotide ribosomal RNA is filed under the name uncultured bacterium. RNAcentral's name for it is "bacterial SSU rRNA". It matches the Rfam family "Bacterial small subunit ribosomal RNA", at positions 338 to 944 of the family's 1533-position model. The record is from RNAcentral.